UUCCUUCUUAUUCUGCUUUAUGGAAACGAAAUGUUGUGAUUAGCUGCUCUGUCUUUGACCCAAAUAAAGCCAGAAACGAAGACGUAGCGACAGCGGAAGCUUGUGUGAGUGAACUGCACACACCGCCUUCUUCAUCUUUGUGAAAUCCAGCCCGCUCUUUGCCUGUUUGUAAACAUUUACGUCAAAAGCACGUGACGCCUGCGACGCAAUUCCGUGCAAUAUCCAAUCAGAAAGCGGAGGUGUGUUCCCAUAGGCGUGGCUUGUUAGUGUUGCCGUGAAAAUGUCGUUGCGUAGAGUUUAUUUGUCAAGCCACAGUCGCCUCAAUAGCAACCGGGAGCAGGAUGGGAGGUUCUGGAAGCGGUGUCGUAACUCUUGAGACGCUGUUGCGAAAGAUGCGCUCUCGAACGGGAACGAGCAGAAGCAGAUUCAUGUCCCAGGUUGAGCUGACGAGGUGCUGGACGGAUGCUUGAUGCGAGAGGAUGUUGCGCACUUCUAUUUACUUCAGGAGUGAGAGUAUGCAUAUUUGGACUACGAGCUGAUGAAAACAGAUGAGAACAUGUUUAAAUUUAAAUAGAGGGUUUGACCUAUGGCGGUGAGCUUCGUUUGCUGUGGGAAAUGGGACAUCAUGGGCUCUCCCAGAGGUAGAGGCAGCAUGGUCGCAUUCAAAUGAGAAAGCAAAAUUGAAACAUCGUCUCCAGGAUGCCAAGAGACUGGAGAGCUUCGCUCGCUCAUCUUUGACAAUCUGUGCCGUAGCGGAGACGUGAAGCGGCGAGACGGCGCGCGUGACCGAAGAGGCCAGAUGUGGAGAUGCACGGUGGCGUCCUAAGCUUUUGGGGCCUUUUCAUUUUGGAUCGAGUGUCGGACUAUAAGAUGUGGGUGUGUUACAUGAGCAGGAAGCGUUCUGGUGCCUUUCAGCAGUUCUCCAUGCCAUCUCUCAGAACCACCCAUCCCCCUGGUGAAUAAUGGACGCAUCCCUUCUCGGAUUGCCUUGUAUUUUAUACACAAAGCAGCCACAAAAUUAAAUAGACUCUACUUGCACGAUCAUAUGAGAAAUGUUGCUAUGAUAAUUAGGGCUGCACAAUGUUGAUAAAAAAAAUAUCGUCUUUGCGAUAGUGGCCCGUGCAAUAAGUUUUAGAAGGGAUUUUAUGAGAUUGAGAGGAUUGAUACUUUUUAUCAUGCUUCUUUGAGGUGCAUUACUAACUGUUAAGAUUUUCACUCACCACUGUGAAUUAUUAUACUCUCAAGUAGGAUGACUUACCAACCUGCCAUGCAUGUUUUCGCAAUGGGGGGGACCCACGGAGGCACGACACACAAACACCACACAUGAAGGCCCAAGUUUAUGUUGUAUCCAGAACCUAAAUGCUUCCAUGAAGCCUUCUAUGAAAAUAUACAACUCAGAUUGUUAUUGACAAACUACAGUAUACUGAAUGUUUUGUGUUUGUCUCAUUUUGUCCCGUCUUUGAAGGAAGUCCUGGCUGUCUUCUGAUGAAGAACACCCCUAUGAGUCUUUUGUCAUCCAAAUGUGCCAGUUUGACUGUAAUUUUUCCAAGAUUCUAAAGCGUCAAGGCUGUUUUUACCCAUGCUAGGAUGUUCUCUGCCAGAAAUGCCCCCCUUGGAAGCUGGUUUCAGAUGGUGGCUUAGAGUAUCGUCAUCCAUCUAGCACCAUUUGAAAUCAGUGUUCUUGGGGCGGGAGGUGAGAGUCACGUGCCAGUAAAAAUCAGCUGUUCCGGCAGAAGCUCCACUCAGUCAGCAACAAGUGGCCAGUGAUAUUUUGUCAGCCUGGGCCCUUUGUCCUUUCUCCAAGGUUGACCGAUUUCUUCUGGUGCUCAGAGUCUGCUUUUGUUUCUAGCACCAUUUGAAAUCGGUUACAGUGAAGGACACAUCUCGUCUCACCAUGAAUGAACCACUGGAAAUAACUUUUUUUUUUUCAUGUUCAUUUAUCCAAGGACAAUGUCUGCUACUCUUACAAUGAACUUGGACUAAUGUGUGAACAAUAAUUGAAUUACAUUUGCUUGUGGUGUCGGAAAUGUGGUCAAAACUACAUUGUGACAGUGAUCUCAUUAAGUAUUGCUCCAGAACAGAGGUGGCCAAUCAUUUUUUUCCCGGGGGCCAAAUGAGAAGCAGAAAAUGUUGUAGAGGGUUGGGCCAAAAGUUUGAAAUCUACUCCAGGUAUCGAUUUAAUUUCUACUAGAAAUAAGUAAAUGCCAUUGUUUACAGAAGCUGAUGAGUAUAUGUUAUUGUUAGAUAACGAGAGUGCAUUAUUUUACAAAAAA
Molecule: long non-coding RNA, 2273 nt
Organism: Hippocampus comes (tiger tail seahorse)
Lineage: Eukaryota; Metazoa; Chordata; Actinopteri; Syngnathiformes; Syngnathidae
Exons: 5
Source: RefSeq, a predicted model, not a curated record